CAGUCGCCACGGUAAUACGAAGGGUGCAAGCGUUACUCGGAAUUACUGGGCGUAAAGCGUGCGUAGGUGGUGGUUUAAGUCCGUUGUGAAAGCCCUGGGCUCAACCUGGGAAUUGCAGUGGAUACUGGCUCGCUAGAGUGUGUCAGAGGAUGGUGGAAUUCCCGGUGUAGCGGUGAAAUGCGUAGAGAUCGGGAGGAACAUCAGUGGCGAAGGCGGCCAUCUGGGACAACACUGACGCUGAGGCACGAAAGCGUGGGGAGCAAACAGGAUUAGAUACCCCUGUAGUCCCUGUCUCUUAUAC
This 301-nucleotide ribosomal RNA is filed under the name uncultured bacterium. RNAcentral describes it as "partial 16S ribosomal RNA". It matches the Rfam family "Bacterial small subunit ribosomal RNA", at positions 509 to 807 of the family's 1533-position model. The record is from RNAcentral.